This is a transfer RNA of Dichomitus squalens LYAD-421 SS1, 72 nucleotides long. It matches the Rfam family "tRNA". From Rfam's summary of the family: Transfer RNA (tRNA) molecules are approximately 80 nucleotides in length. The record is from Rfam. NCBI's taxonomy places the organism in Eukaryota, Fungi, Basidiomycota, Agaricomycetes, Polyporales, Polyporaceae.
GGGCAUUUGGCACAGUGGUAGCGCGCACGCUUCGCAUGCGUGAGGUCCAGAGUUCAAUCCUCUGAUUGUCCA